RNAcentral lists this ribosomal RNA (253 nucleotides) under uncultured bacterium. RNAcentral describes it as "partial 16S ribosomal RNA". It matches the Rfam family "Bacterial small subunit ribosomal RNA", at positions 524 to 776 of the family's 1533-position model. The record is from RNAcentral.
UACAGAGGUCCCAAGCGUUGUUCGGAUUCACUGGGCGUAAAGGGUGCGUAGGUGGUUGGGCAAGUCGGAUGUGAAAUCUCCGGGCUUAACCCGGAAAUGGCAUUGGAAACUGCCUGGCUAGAGUGUUGGAGGGGGGACUGGAAUUCUCGGUGUAGCAGUGAAAUGCGUAGAUAUCGAGAGGAACACCAGUGGCGAAGGCGAGUCCCUGGACAACGACUGACACUGAGGCACGAAAGCUAGGGGAGCAAACAGG